UACGUAGGGUGCGAGCGUUAAUCGGAAUUACUGGGCGUAAAGCGUGCGCAGGCGGUUCGUUAAGUCAGAUGUGAAAGCCCCGGGCUCAACCUGGGAACUGCAUUUGAAACUGGCGGGCUUGAGUGCGGCAGAGGGGGGUGGAAUUCCACGUGUAGCAGUGAAAUGCGUAGAUAUGUGGAGGAAUACCGAUGGCGAAGGCAGCCCCCUGGGAUGACACUGACGCUCAUGCACGAAAGCGUGGGGAGCAAACAGG
RNAcentral lists this ribosomal RNA (253 nucleotides) under uncultured bacterium. RNAcentral describes it as "partial 16S ribosomal RNA". It matches the Rfam family "Bacterial small subunit ribosomal RNA", at positions 524 to 776 of the family's 1533-position model. The record is from RNAcentral.